Long non-coding RNA from Capsicum annuum, 605 nucleotides. RefSeq lists it as uncharacterized. NCBI's taxonomy places the organism in Eukaryota, Viridiplantae, Streptophyta, Magnoliopsida, Solanales, Solanaceae. The transcript is spliced from 2 exons. The record is from RefSeq and is a predicted model, not a curated record.
UUAACCCAUUUCACUCUCCCUUCUCUAUUCUUUUCCAUCAAGCUCCUCUUCUCCCCUCUUUUUUACUUUUUCCUCGAAUUUCCCUGAUAAAUAAAUUGAAAUUUGCAAUUUUAAUAGAAUUGGUUGACAAAUUAUAAAUAGCUUGCACAUCCUUUGGCAAUCAUGUCGAAUUUUACUGGCCUCCAAUAAUCAUAUGGAGCAGAUGGCUCUACGGAGGGGCUUAAUCUGGCUUUACAGCUUAAUCUCAGCCCCAUUAAAGUCAAUAUCGAUUCCAUGGAGGUAAUUCACAUGUUGUCUAAGGGCAAUACAUUAUAUGAUCCUCUUAUUUAUAAAUGCAGGUCAAUAAUAAGAAGGCUGGGAAGACCAACCGUGCAUCAUUGCUUUAGGGAGAAAAAUCAGGUUGUCGAUGCACUAGUAAAUAAAGAAGGACAGUCUUUUGUUGGUAGAAACCAAGUUUUUGUUACACCACCCCCUUUCGCCCUGAAGGAAGUAUGGAACGACAUAGGUGGACAUAUGUAUCUAAGAUCUGUUUCUAACUCUCAGUUAACUCAAGGGAGCAAUGCCUUUUGUUUUGUAAUGGAGCCUAAUUAGGCAUUACUCUUGUA